GGACUACCGGGGUUUCUAAUCCUGUUUGCUCCCCACGCUUUCGCGCCUCAGCGUCAGUAUCGGACCAGGUCGCCGCCUUCGCCACCGGUGUUCUUCCCAAUAUCUACGAAUUUCACCUCUACACUGGGAAUUCCACGACCCUCUUCCGAACUCAAGCCUGCACGUAUCAAACGCAGCCCCCAGGUUAAGCCCAGGAAUUUCACGUCUGACUGUGCAAACCGCCUACGCGCCCUUUACGCCCAGUCAAUCCGAGCAACGCUAGCCCCCUUCGUAUUACCGCGGCGGCUGGCAC
RNAcentral lists this ribosomal RNA (292 nucleotides) under uncultured bacterium. RNAcentral describes it as "partial 16S ribosomal RNA". The record is from RNAcentral.